AAUUAUUAUUUUUUCUCUAAUUUCAACUGUUUUACUUUUAUCAGAUUGUGAAUUUUGUUUUUAGUGUUUUCCACCACUUCCACCGCUUUCUACCAUGCAAAGAAAUCAUAUUCAUCUUUUUUAUUUCCUACAGUUUUGAUCUUAUCACAUUCUGACUUUGUUUUAUAGGAUUCACCGUUUUCACCGCUUGCCGCUUCGUUCCCUACUAUAAAUAGAGUGCUCCCGUUACAACAUUCACAAAUCUGUUUCUUUGGGUUCUAAAUUUGACCCUCAGCUCUCCAGUUUCUCGGGUAUGUCAUUUCAUGCUCAUUUUUUCCUUUCUUAUAUUCAUUAUUCUGAACUAAAUAUUUCUGACUAUAUCUUCAGUUAUUUAUUUAUAUGUAAUAAUUAAUUGUUAGAAAUAAAUAAAAAAAUAGUCAAACGAAUGAACAACAAUAAAAAGUUACAUUAAUAUUUAGAAUAAGAAAUCUAAAUUUAGUUGUGAAUUUCGGAAUCCACUAGGUAUACUUCAGUUUGUAUUGUGCUCGGUUAACUAUAAAUUUUUCUAUGCUUUAAUGAAAUAGUACACAUUCAUCUUAAAAAAAAUUGAAUUACAAACUAAAA
Juglans microcarpa x Juglans regia is the source of this 603-nucleotide long non-coding RNA. RefSeq lists it as uncharacterized. NCBI's taxonomy places the organism in Eukaryota, Viridiplantae, Streptophyta, Magnoliopsida, Fagales, Juglandaceae. The transcript has 2 exons. The record is from RefSeq and is a predicted model, not a curated record.